RNA transcript from Coturnix japonica (Japanese quail), 1861 nucleotides. It is a transcript of the gene named KICSTOR complex protein ITFG2-like, with no coding region annotated. The record is from RefSeq and is a predicted model, not a curated record. NCBI's taxonomy places the organism in Eukaryota, Metazoa, Chordata, Aves, Galliformes, Phasianidae.
GGAGGAUUAAAGGGCGCGUCGUGCCUUGGGGCGGGGAGAAUGGAGCUGACUGAGGGAUGUGGAGGGUGGAGAAGUUGAGGAGAAGCGGUUGGGCUGCGCUGAGCUGAGGCCUAUAUGCAUGCAAACAAGGAAGUAACAGCCCGUGCCUGGUUUAUGUCAGCUUCAAUCAGAAGAUCUACAUCUACUGGGAUGUGCAGCUGGAGAGGAUGGAGUCCACCAACCUGUUAAAAAUCCUCGAGAAUGACCCACAAUUUGACAGUCUGCUGCAGGAGCUGGGUGUGGGUACUGAAAGUGGUGGAAGAGCAUUUCGGGACAUACCUGAGAUGUUUGGUCCUAUGAGUUUUUGUUCCCAUCUUCAAGUUAACACAAAUCUGAACCCAUUCUUAAGUGGUCCAGCUUAACCGUUUUAUUCUGAAUGUUGUUCAUAUGUGAGCAGUCGCUGGCUGUGACCCAAGUUCCUGAUUGUCUGCAGAGCAAAGCCUGAGCAUGUUACUGUCUUAUCAUGAGCCCAUGUCUUAACCAGCUCACGACAGGCUCUCACUUAUAUACUCAAGGCAUCUCUUUCUGUAGACACUGUAUUUCCUUACAAGAAUGUCAGAACUUUUAACUACACCGUGAUUCGAAGAAAUCAAUGAAUAGAAACUUAAUAGCACAGUUUUUGUUACCAUAAGCAAGGUAUUCUUUACUGGUAGCACCGGGGUAGCAUUGUGAUAACUCUCCAAGAGUAUUCCACUAGUUGAUCAUUCAUGAACAGGUCAUAUUUUCACAUGUAUUACAUGGUAUUUACAAUCCCAGAUUCAUUAUUGUAUCAACUCCCAAUGUUUGUCCAACAGACAUAGGCGUAUUUGGUGAUCUUCAAUGUUCCUUCUUUUGCAUGGUGAUGCUUUGAUGAAGUUUCUGAAUUACAUUAUCAGUUUUUAAAGAUUUCUCACAUAAAUUUUCUCGACACAACAAUAUUUCAUCAAGGGUGGGCAGGGAAGCGAGAACAGCCUUCAUCUGCAGGGAUCUAGGAAACAACGAUAUCCCUGUGUCUCAGUUUGAUCAGCUUGCAGCUUGUGAGCUCCCUGGGGCUUGUGAGAAAUGAAUCUGUGUUAAGGAUUCUACUUCUCCAGAUCUUUUCAACUGCUGUGUCUGCAUGACGUGGAUCUGUUUUCAGGGCAGCCAAACACAAAACACAUGCGGCAGCCACCGAGAACUGCGCCAAUACUGGCUGAGGACAGCACCAGGGAAAGGGUUGGGUCUGCCCCGGGGCCGUCGCUUCUCUUGCCAUUGGUUUUGUCCUCCAGUCAGUCAUGUGAAGCACGAAUGAUGGGAAAAGGGUGGGACUAGGAACUGGAACUCAGCAGCUGAUGAUUUUGCUGAAGAGCUAAGCAUAACUUUUGAACCAAGGGAGCCUUAAAUACAGCACGUGUCACCUCAGAGGCCUUGGCAUGAUAGGGGAGUUCCACUCUCCUCACUUCAUAGGUGGGAAAAUGAAGCUACAGAGGAGAGAAAUAAUUUCCUUGAUGUCACCUGGCAGUUUAAAGCAGAAAACUAAGGCAUGAGUAUCCCAUGUACCAACUUCCUAGGUCCUGUGUGACUUGAACUGGUAGUUGGUCCAGGGGAGCUGAUCUGCUGACCAAACUUCUGAUGCAGUCCAGGACAUUCCCAUUGGUUCUUAAGCGCAACUGUUGAAGUCUAGUGAAUACGAGAGCCUCUAUUUUAACGUAAACACUUUUGUGUAAUUUAGAUAGCAAAGAAUUGAGAUUACCAAUAGAAAUGGAACCAAAUGUGUGAUAAACUCCACAGCCAAUUUCUGUCUCCCAGGUGAGAAAUGUGUGUCAGUUGCUUACUUUGCAAUUACAAUUUGUUGUGAAAAAUG